This 405-nucleotide ribosomal RNA is filed under the name uncultured bacterium. RNAcentral's name for it is "bacterial SSU rRNA". It matches the Rfam family "Bacterial small subunit ribosomal RNA", at positions 46 to 496 of the family's 1533-position model. The record is from RNAcentral.
GCCUAACACAUGCAAGUCGAACGAAGUAGCAAUACUUAGUGGCAGACGGGUGAGUAACAUGUAGGUAUCUGCCCUUUGGCCUGGAAUAACACGAGGAAACUUGUGCUAAUACCGGAUAAGUCUUUACGGAGAAAGCUUUAUGCACCAUUGGAUGAGCCUGCACUUGAUUAGUUUGUUGGUGGGGUAAUGGCCUACCAAGACUGUGAUCAAUAGCUGAUUUGAGAGGAUGAUCAGCCACAUUGGGACUGAGACACGGCCCAAACUCCUACGGGAGGCAGCAGUGGGGAAUCUUGCACAAUGGAGGAAACUCUGAUGCAGCGAUGCCGCGUGAGUGAAGAAGGCCCUUGGGUUGUAAAGCUCUUUCGUCGGGGAAGAAAAUGACUGUACCCGAAUAAGAAGGUCCGG